Molecule: long non-coding RNA, 725 nt
Organism: Cannabis sativa
Lineage: Eukaryota; Viridiplantae; Streptophyta; Magnoliopsida; Rosales; Cannabaceae
Exons: 3
Source: RefSeq, a predicted model, not a curated record
AUCUAAUGGCUCCCAUCCAGCUGAGGUGUUACAUUCCUCAAAAACAUUAUUGAGGUUAUACAUCAAAUGUACUCUCAAACACAAAAACUCAAACCCUAAACACAGCCGCCUCCUUUAAUCUUUUUUUUUUUCUUGGUUGCUUCUCUGUUCUGUUCUCCUUAUAUAUCUUCUUCCUUUCUUCAUUCACGAAAUGUGAUAGCUUCUCUGUUCUUUGCUCAUUGAAAAAACCCCAUUUCUAGAAUUGAUUCAUCGACGACGACGACGACGACGACGACGAAGAGCUUCGUGUCUACGACCUGAGACGGCGACAAGCCCUGCAUACUUGACAUGUAAUAUAGACACAAGCUUUCUACUCUCUGUACAGCCAUAAAUAUCUGAUUCAAAGCUAAGGUUUUGAUAGCUGAGGAACCAGGCAUCAGGGUGCCCCUGUUUUUCAGCCCUAAACAUCAAUUCUUAGGGCUUCAUAGUCCGGGUUAGGUGCUUUCAGUGCUGCUAUGGAUUCAGAAUCAUGGGCUAGUCCAAAGGAAGAUUAAAGAUGGGCUCACAUUCACAAAGUCAAGUUCAGCAUGCCAUCUUGCUACACUAUUUUAUGAAGAUAUUUUUUAUAUAAUUUUAUUAAUUUUGUUUAAUGUAAUUAAAUAACAUAAUAUAAAAUUAAUGUAAACAAAAUGCAAUGUAUUAUUUUUUUAAUUGUAACAAAUAUAAUGUAAUUAUUGUUUUUAAUA